RNAcentral lists this ribosomal RNA (253 nucleotides) under uncultured bacterium. Its description in RNAcentral is "partial 16S ribosomal RNA". It matches the Rfam family "Bacterial small subunit ribosomal RNA", at positions 524 to 776 of the family's 1533-position model. The record is from RNAcentral.
UACGUAGGGGGCGAGCGUUGUCCGGAUUUAUUGGGCGUAAAGAGCGUGUAGGCGGCCAGGUAGGUCUGCUGUGAAAACUCGAGGCUCAACCUCGAGACGUCGGCGGAAACCAUCUGGCUAGAGUCCGGAAGAGGAGAGUGGAAUUCCUGGUGUAGCGGUGAAAUGCGUAGAUAUCGGGAGGAACACCAGUGGCGAAGGCGAGUCUCUGGGAUGAUGCUGACGCUGAGGCGCGAAAGCCAGGGGAGCAAACGGG